GGGGAAUAUUGCACAAUGGGCGCAAGCCUGAUGCAGCCAUGCCGCGUGUAUGAAGAAGGCCUUCGGGUUGUAAAGUACUUUCAGCGGGGAGGAAGGGGUUAAGGUUAAUAACCUUAGCCAUUGACGUUACCCGCAGAAGAAGCACCGGCUAACUCCGUGCCAGCAGCCGCGGUAAUACGGAGGAUGCGAGCGUUAUCCGGAUUUAUUGGGUUUAAAGGGUGCGCAGGCGGUCUGUCAAGUCGGAUGUGAAAUCCCCGGGCUCAACCUGGGAACUGCAUUCGAAACUGGCAGGCUUGAGUCUCGUAGAGGGGGGUAGAAUUCCAGGUGUAGCGGUGAAAUGCGUAGAGAUCUGGAGGAAUACCGGUGGCGAAGGCGGCCCCCUGGACGAAGACUGACGCUCAGGUGCGAAAGCGUGGGGAGCAAACA
Molecule: ribosomal RNA, 426 nt
Filed under: uncultured Enterobacteriaceae bacterium
Lineage: Bacteria; Pseudomonadati; Pseudomonadota; Gammaproteobacteria; Enterobacterales; Enterobacteriaceae
Description: bacterial SSU rRNA
Rfam family: Bacterial small subunit ribosomal RNA
Source: RNAcentral